RNAcentral lists this ribosomal RNA (545 nucleotides) under uncultured Glomeromycotina. RNAcentral describes it as "SSU rRNA". It matches the Rfam family "Eukaryotic small subunit ribosomal RNA", at positions 548 to 1098 of the family's 1831-position model. The record is from RNAcentral. Lineage: Eukaryota; Fungi; Glomeromycota.
UUGGAGGGCAAGUCUGGUGCCAGCAGCCGCGGUAAUUCCAGCUCCAGUAGCGUAUAUUAAAGUUGCAGUUAAAAAGCUCGUAGUUGAAUUUCGAGAUCAAAUUGUUGGUCGUGCCUCGGUACGUACUGGCAUUAUUGAUUUCUCCCUUCUGAAGAACCACGAUGUCAUUAAUUUGGUGUCGUGGGGAAUCAGGACUGUUACUUUGAAAAAAUUAGAGUGUUUAAAGCAGGCUCACGCUUGAAUACAUUAGCAUGGAAUAAUGAAAUAGGACGUUUGAUUCUAUUUUGUUGGUUUCUAGGAUCGACGUAAUGAUUAAUAGGGAUAGUUGGGGGCAUUAGUAUUCAAUUGUCAGAGGUGAAAUUCUUGGAUUUAUUGAAGACUAACUACUGCGAAAGCAUUUGCCAAGGAUGUUUUCAUUAAUCAAGAACGAAAGUUAGGGGAUCGAAGACGAUCAGAUACCGUCGUAGUCUUAACCAUAAACUAUGCCGACUAGGGAUCGGAUGAUGUUGAUUUUUUAAUGACUCAUUCGGCGCCUUACGGGAAAC